Molecule: long non-coding RNA, 423 nt
Organism: Hirundo rustica (Barn swallow)
Lineage: Eukaryota; Metazoa; Chordata; Aves; Passeriformes; Hirundinidae
Exons: 3
Source: RefSeq, a predicted model, not a curated record
GUUCUCACGCUUCUGUGUGCUGUCCUGCAUCUGCAAUGCUCUCUCAUGCCAGUCGGGGCUCUGAUACAGCAUCCUCCUAACCGCACACCCUUGAAAAUUUUCCACCUGGGGUGACCAUGGACCAGUGCAGUGGCUGAAAGCUGCUUAAACAGUGUGACAGAGGGCAUUCCAGAAAUGAGGACAUCUAUCUUCAUCCUCUUUGCGGAGCCAACCUGCCAACGGGGUCAAACAGUGUACCAGUAUUGCCUGCAUACAGAGGAGCAGUCUGGGAUCCACACCAGGAGUGACUAACCUGCAUUACAAUUGAGAUAAAGUAGCCUUCAACACAAUGCUCCUCAAGAAACAAUACAGAUUGUAAAGUUUCAUUUCUGAGACACUGAUGUGUUGCCUAUUUCUUACCUUUUGCAAGGCAGCGUCACAAAA